UUUUAUUUCAGCUGGUAAACCAUCAGGGGAAGUCCAAAUAUCAGAGGGUAGAUUUGGGGCAUUUAAGCAUGAUUUAAUUGAGGAUGUGGAGAGUAGAUUACUGUCUGAUGUGAAAUAUGCCAAAGCCCAUGGGAUAAACCUAAAGGACAUUGCCAAAGAUUUUGAAAACAGAGCAAAAGUGGCCAAAUUAUCCCCAAAACCAAGAUCAACAGCAUCAGAUGAGAGAGAAGACAAGGACUUAGCUUCACUACACAAGCGCCCUCUACCACCUAGUAAUAUGUAAACCAUAUAUACAGCUGAUCAUUUUGUGUUGAUCUGUAACAUACUACUUAGAAAAGACCAGGAUAAAUGCAAUAAAGGUGUAAAUAGAGGAUGGAGUGCAGUUGUAAUACAGUUUUAAAAAUGUUGGGGUAUCCAAAGUCAUUUAGAUGGACAAGUGUAUGACUGAAAUGAAAGAAGAAUACAUUAUAACAU
Long non-coding RNA from Lingula anatina, 474 nucleotides. NCBI's taxonomy places the organism in Eukaryota, Metazoa, Brachiopoda, Lingulata, Lingulida, Lingulidae. The record is from RefSeq and is a predicted model, not a curated record.